RNAcentral lists this long non-coding RNA (3205 nucleotides) under Sus scrofa (pig). RNAcentral's name for it is "lncRNA (ENSSSCG00000055990.1)". Lineage: Eukaryota; Metazoa; Chordata; Mammalia; Artiodactyla; Suidae. The record is from RNAcentral.
AAGAGGAGAACCGCCCCUCCCUGGGCGCCUGCGUCACAUCCCCUCACUGAGAGCCCUGACUGCCUGGCAGCCACCUGGCCCUGGUCUGUUUCCAUGAUCGGGCCCCAGAUCCUGGGCUCCCUGUCGUGGCAGCACCAUCCUUCACUUUCUGAGGGGCGGGCAGGGUUUGCUGUCCCCUCCCUGCGGCCUGGGCCCGAGGCAGGGCCUGGCUUUCUUCUCCUGGGUGAGUGGGAACAGCCUUGAAUCCUGGGACACGGCCCGCUCGGGCUGGAGGCUCUCGUGCACUCAGUCGGCAAACCCGAAUCCACCGCGUCUCGGCCCCGUGCUGCCAGCAUCAGACUGGAGGAUGAUUCAUGGAUGGGACACCAUCUGCGCCCUUGAGGAGGCGGGGAAGCCAGGAAAACAAACAGCGCUUCACGGGGAGACGUGGGACCGGCCGGUUCCCGCCAGCAGACAUGGGGCUGUGACGAUUUCAGAGGGUCAGACGGACAAGUUGGCGGACCCACAGACAGACCACGUGCUGGCAAGCAUGGAAGACGGACACGCAGGUAGACAGUGUGCAGGCAGAGACCGGUGGACACAGACAGACAGGCACGGCAGGCGCUCAGGCCAGAAGACAGCCUGCCAGACACGCAGUGUGUUUUCCAGGCUCUCCCAGGGCAGCGAGGACGCCGUCUUGGUCGUGGCUGCAGCCACAGGGUCAUGCACAGAGGCUGGACCCGGCAGGUGUCACUGAACAGAGGGGAAAAGAGAGGCUCCUGGGCCCAAAGCCAGAACAGGGAGGCUCCCGCAGCCUCCUUCCCCAGGACGGUUUUCAUCCUGGCCGCAGACCAGAGCCCCGGGGGAGUCUGCGCACAGCUUCAGGCUCCGUGCGGUCCCGGGCAGGGAACCGGCUGCCUGGGUGGAGCGGGGCUGCCCUGCGGCCUCAGGUCACCUGCCCCCAGGCCUGCCCUUCCCCCUGAGCGCAGCGGGGGGGAUGGCUGCUCUUUUAGGGCCCCUGGAGGAGGCCACGUAGCCGAGGUGUGGUUUGGGGGCCAGUGGCUCCAUCUAUGGGAAGUGAUGGAUCCUGGGGGCCAAGGAUCGUGGGGUGGGGUUCUCCCCUCUGGGGCGUCCGCCUUCCGUGAAGGAGCUGCCCCUGCGCCUGUGGAGAGGAGCGGCUGCGUGGGCAUCGCUGAGUGACGCCGGCGAGACCGUCCGUUGGGCCCGUGUGAGGCUGAGAAGGGUUCGAGCGUGUGCACUUGAGGCUGGAGUCCGUGACGCGCUCUCCCGGCUCAGCGUGACCAGGUCAGUGAUGUUCCUGGACGGCAGCAGAGCCCCCGGUGCCAGACCCUCCCUGGGCCUCAGGUCUAGGGGGGCUGCGCCCACCCCGAGCGGCCCACUCCUAACUUUGGAGUUUGCUGCCGAUCAAGCUGUAACACAAGUUAAUUGCAUGGUUAUCGAGAGACAACGGAGCCACUCGAAUGCCGUUUCUGGGCAAUUACAAUUGUUUCCAACAGAGUCACCAUAUUGCAGCCACGAAAUAACGUGUCAUUUUGCAAGUAAUUAUGUAAUUAACUUGUCUCACGCUCUGGGUUGCACAACAAUUAAUUCACCCACAAUGAGAUCGACUCGGAGUCAGGCAGCCAGGCUUUGAAAGCCCCCCAGCGCGGGGCUGGGCUUCCAAGAUGACCCCAGCCCCACUCUGCGCCCCCCCUACCAGACCUUGCCGAGGUGCCUCCUCAGCCUAACACACGGCAUGGAACAUUCCAGAUCCAGCACCCAUGGCUGUCUCCCCGAACUCAUCCAGAAAAUGGGAUGGUCUGUUUCCUGGGACAGCCGCAAGGCUGAGGUCCACACUGUGAAGUGCUGUGCUUACGUGCGCUGGGGUCGCUGUCCUGGGCAUCACGAGGUCUGAGUGCCCGACUCUUGGGCCAGGAAGACCCACAGAGGCCGGCUGCCCCACGAAGCGGCCACGCAGGCCGUGCCUCGGCAGGUGUGGGCAGGUACAGUGGAGGGGAGAGAGCCAGCCACGAGGCCGUUCUCUCUGGAGCAGGGCAACCGAGCUGGAAUGGCUCCUCGGGGCCGGGGGUUCUGCCCCUGGAGGGGCCUUGCAACCUCAGGGGAGACCCGGGUAAAAGCUGGCCUCCCCUGCUUCCCCGCCACCAUGUGGGAGGAAGGUGAUGAAGCGUGGAGCGUAUGCGUGGUCCUGGCUGGGCUCUCCCGGAAGCUGCAGCUCACCCUGGAGGCCUGGAGUUGGGGGGAGCCGGGGAGACUGAACAUGCACCCUCAGAGGCUGCUGCAGUCAUGCCUGCCUGGGGCUUGUGGGUGGUGGGCGUGUGGAAGGCCUUGCACAGUCGCUGUGGGGAUCCCCUCUGUCACUAAGGCGCCUGUGGGACCCCGCCCUCCUGCUCCCCUUGGCUGCCUGGCGUCAGAGAUAGUCUAACAAGGGGCCCGGGGUCCGUGGAGGCCGGCACCUGCUUCGGCCCCCACCUCUGGGUCUAAAGCUGGACCAGAGCGUCUGUGUUGGGGAAUGAGUUUGAUCUUAGCCUUGACGCUGCGGCAGGGCCCGUCGUGAAAUCUCACCUGAGCCCUCUCCUCUCCCGGGCCUGGUCCUAGAAUGUGCCCUCUGUCAUACACAGAGCCACAGGUGGAAUGCACGUGACACUCCUGCCUGGGAAACCUCUAAGCAGACCCAACCGCCCUCUCCCUCCCAGCUGUCAGAGAACGUCAAGAGCAGACCAAAUCUGGCACCGAGUGACCCCGGCAGCCGGGAGCUGCCCCGCGAAAGGGAGGCUAAGGGAAGAUGCUUGUGGCUGGGCCGGGCUUCAUCUCGGUGAACGUUCCGGUGAGAUGAUUCUGUCUGCAAGUGGCUAUUAAGCUAGAGAUUACCUCCAAACUAUAACUGACUAAAAAUGAACGAAUAAAGAUGAGCUGAUAUGAAGGUGAGUUGGCCGAGAAAAAUACUGGACCAAGAGUGGUUUGUCAUGAAGAGUUCCCAUUGUGGCUCAACGGGUUAUGAACCUGGCUAAUAUCCAUGAGGAUGCGGGUUCGAUCCCUGGCCUCGCUCAGGGGGUUGAGGAUCUGGGGUUCCCGUGAGCUGUGGUGUAGGUCGCAGGCACAGCUGGGAUCCUGCAUUGCUGUGGCAGUGGUGUAGGCUGGCAGCAGCAGCUCUGAUUUGACCCCCAGCCUGGGAACCUCCAUAGGCCACAGGGGCAGCCCUAAAAAG